GCUGGCGAGGGGGGACGAGGCGGCGGAAAGAUCCGAAGCUGUCAGCAGCGGCCAGAGGCGGAAACGGCGCCGGCGGAAAGAGCCGAGCCUGGGCGGAAAGAGCCGAGGGCAGACCGCCUGGGCGCCGCGCGCCUAUCGCCCCCCGGCUCGGGCCUGCCCCAGAACAGUUCCACGGCGCAUGCCCAGCGGCGGGAGGGGGCUGCUCGGCACGACGGCGCUUCAGUAACACGAGGGGCCGGACCCGGCGGGGAAGGAAAUAGCUGCCAGACGCCCGGAAGUGGAGGUCUCCAUGGAGACUGUUCCGACGCGUUGCUAUGGCUCUAUGGCGGGGCGUAGCCGCCCAAGAUGGAGCAGAUCCCGGAGGAGGAGGGGUCCGAGCAGGGGCCCGAAGAACCCGAGUCCCAGCCUGGCCCGGCCUGCCUCGCCUGGAGCCCCCUGGAGGUGGCGGAGUGGGUUCGGCAGCUGGGCUUCCCUCAGUACGAGUGUUUCCAUCUGAUUUUCCUGCCAGGAGUGCUUUACAGCUAACUGCAUCACUGGCCGCAAACUCAUCCACGUUAACUGCUCAAACCUGCCACAGAUGGGCAUAACAGACUUUGACCACAUGAAGGUGAGUGCCACACACAGAGAUGACUUCCUCCAUUAGGAGUGUAAUUUCCCAUCCCAUCUCCUACAUGUUCAUGUUUGUUCUCUGCCUACAUCAAGAUGUAACACUGCUCCAGCUGUUAAUGAUAAUAGGAAGCUCAAUAGGACAACUAGAACCUGCCCAAGACCUGAUGUUUGGAUGGAUGUGGUGCACAGAAUGCAACAAUAUUUUUCUCACAAGGACUGGGCACACUGUUCUGGCUGCAAUAAGAAUCUUCCCAAAGCUUUAUGUAAAACUCAAGAUGAACCCUGACCCUAUACCUUUUAUGAAGUUCAGAAAAGUUGUAUUUUAAAAGAAAAAUUAUUUCCAUGCCUUUAUGCCUAUCUGGUUUCCAUCUAGGACCUGAGGCAGAAGGGCCACAAAGGAGAAAGAAAGCCUGCUGUGGCAGUACUUCCUGUGUGUGCACAAGUAGGAAACAACAGAAAUCUUGCCCAAUCACUUGUUUGUUUGACAAUUACGACCCAGCUUGGGAGACAUAGUGAUUUUUCACUGCAUUACACCAGUUUUGUGUGGUGUAAUUCUUCUGAAGUCAAUGGAAAUUCACUAGUGUAAAAGUGAUGUAAGAGUGGAGAAGCAGGGUCAGGAAGUUUGGAUAUGCACCUGCAUUUCUGGGUGCUCAGUCAAACCUCCAGUGUUUUGCCCACCUUUGUCCUACCACUUAAUGAAGAGAUGUGUAUAUGGGGGGAAAUGGUCUACAAAAUCCCACUUUUUAAAAUCAACAAACUAGUCUUCACUAAUUAAAACUGUACAAAAAUCCCCAUCUAAAGGAUCCUAAAAUCAGCUAAUAAGGAAGGACCAGAAGGAAUUUUUACUUGCUGCAUUGGGGAUGGACAGAGGCUUCACCUUAUCCAGCCUCACAUGAAGUGUUCCAUGGUUCAAGGUAGGCUCCAUAUAGCUCCCAAAUGGUCAGAGCCUUUGUAGAGGUUCCUGAGUUUAUAUGGAAUGCAUAGGCACGGCCCAACGGUAGGAAUGUGUACUGAUAAUACUCAAAAGAGAACUUUUGAGAGUUUUGAAUGGAAGGCAUCAGAGAACUGCAAAUUGAUUUUAAAGAUGUUCAGCCUCCCUCAUGAGAUACUGUUUGUGACAAAUACUAUAGAAACUGACAGAAGCAUGGAAUAUUCAAACACUACUGUAUUCAUGUUAUAUGUAUCUUCAUGGGCUUGCUAGUGAUUGUAUUCCUGGCUAAGUGGGUCAGACAAGGAAUGCUUCCUGCAGGAACCAACAUCUCUGGCCAGGGAGGGGAUGAAAUAAAUUCAACUCCCCAAUACUGGAACAAGUCUUUUGAAGUUUCACAGUCUCCUCACUGUGCCCUCCUCCCCCCCAAUAACACAGAUUGUUUUAGGCCUUUUGAACCAGGUCAAACCAACAAAGGACUUGAAACUGUAUAAAAUAUAAACUCUUGCCUAAAGAGAGGGUCACUCACAUGCUGUCCAAGAAUUGACAGGCAUGUUGACUGUGUCCAAGAGAGAGAGGCUCUGCUGUGGACUGGAAGUGGAAGUGGAAGGUAGGUGACCACUUGUUAAGCCAGGCAUGCAUAUAAGCUGUUUUUGUUGACUUUUUCUGAAACACUUUUUUUCUGAAUAAA
Molecule: RNA transcript, 2228 nt
Organism: Mauremys mutica (yellowpond turtle)
Lineage: Eukaryota; Metazoa; Chordata; Testudines; Geoemydidae
Gene: SAMD15
Gene name: sterile alpha motif domain containing 15
Exons: 2
Source: RefSeq, a predicted model, not a curated record